RNAcentral lists this ribosomal RNA (625 nucleotides) under uncultured bacterium. Its description in RNAcentral is "bacterial SSU rRNA". The stretch from base 1 to 539 matches the Rfam family "Bacterial small subunit ribosomal RNA", at positions 338 to 873 of the family's 1533-position model. The record is from RNAcentral.
CCUACGGGAGGCAGCAGUGGGGAAUUUUGGUACAAUGGGCGCAAGCCUGAUCCAGCAAUGCCGCGUGAGUGAAGAAGGCCUUCGGGUUGUAAAGCUCUUUUGUCAGGGAAGAAACGGUCUACUCUAAUACAGUGGGCUAAUGACGGUACCUGAAGAAUAAGCACCGGCUAACUACGUGCCAGCAGCCGCGGUAAUACGUAGGGUGCAAGCGUUAAUCGGAAUUACUGGGCGUAAAGCGUGCGCAGGCGGUUAUAUAAGUCAGAUGUGAAAUCCCCGGGCUCAACCUGGGAACUGCAUUUGAGACUGUAUGGCUAGAGUGUGUCAGAGGGGGGUAGAAUUCCACGUGUAGCAGUGAAAUGCGUAGAUAUGUGGAGGAAUACCGAUGGCGAAGGCAGCCCCCUGGGGAUAACACUGACGCUCAUGCACGAAAGCGUGGGGAGCAAACAGGAUUAGAUACCCUGGUAGUCCACGCCCUAAACGAUGUCUACUAGUUGUCGGUACUUAUUGUNUGUACGUCGNGCUACGCGNGAGUAGACGCCGUCGGAGGUACGGUCGCGAGAGUAAACGUUAACGUAAGUAGUAGUACGNGUAGAGAGACGACGACGACGACGACGGAGGGAGGAGG